Molecule: ribosomal RNA, 199 nt
Filed under: uncultured prokaryote
Description: partial 16S ribosomal RNA
Rfam family: Bacterial small subunit ribosomal RNA
Source: RNAcentral
UACGGAGGGUGCAAGCGUUAUCCGGAUUUACUGGGUUUAAAGGGUGCGUAGGUGGGUUGGUAAGUCAGUGGUGAAAUACUAUAGCUUAACUAUGGAACUGCCAUUGAUACUAUCAACCUUGAAUACAGUGGAGGUGGGCGGAACGGGUCAUGUAGCGGUGAAAUGCCUAGAUAUGACGCGGAACACCGAUUGCGAAGGC